Chelonus insularis is the source of this 671-nucleotide long non-coding RNA. RefSeq lists it as uncharacterized. The record is from RefSeq and is a predicted model, not a curated record. Lineage: Eukaryota; Metazoa; Arthropoda; Insecta; Hymenoptera; Braconidae. The transcript has 3 exons.
UUUAAAUAAUUUUAUUAUUUACGUUAACAUAUAAAAUUUAACUCAUUGUUUUUAUCAUAAAAAAGAUGUGAACGUUUUUAUUUAACUUGUAUGUGUGCAAAAAUGAACAAAAUUUCUUUCAAAACGAUGAACUAAGAAACAUCGUAUGUAGAACAAAACAUGCAUUUUUAAGAGCAGCUACACAAUGCCGAAAUAUAAUGGAUGUAAGGGUACAGAAUAUUGUAAUGUUGAAUUAAAAGACUAAAAGUGUGAGUAUUCUUCCAGUUACAUCAAUGUCAAAAAAUGAUAUCGAGGAAAUAAUACUGAAAUACUACCGUAUUUUCUAAAUGCACGCAAUGUUUGUUACUCUUAUAUUUAAAUUAAUUAUUUUAAAUAACAAAAUAUUCAUCGAUGAAUAUUAAUAAAUGAUUAAAAUUAAAAAUAAAAAUGAAACUAAAAUUUCAUAUGCGUGUAUAUAAAUUUAAAAUUAAACUAUUGGUAUGUAGAAAGCAAAUGGAUUAUUUCCCAUCAUGAAUAUAACUGGUACCUGGUCCUUCAUGGCACAACGAUGCUGAAGAAAGAAAUAUUAUUAAGCCAAAUUUCCAUACAAUAAUCUAUCUUUUAUCUGUGCUUAUUAUUAAUAUUAUUCUUUAUGACAUUUCAUGAAUCUUUUUAAAUAAAUUAUUUAUUUU